GACGAACGCUGGCGGCGUGCUUAACACAUGCAAGUCGAACGAAGAGCGAUGGAAGCUUGCUUCUAUCAAUCUUAGUGGCGAACGGGUGAGUAACGCGUAAUCAACCUGCCCUUCAGAGGGGGACAACAGUUGGAAACGACUGCUAAUACCGCAUACGAUCUAAUCUCGGCAUCGAGGAUAGAUGAAAGGUGGCCUCUACAUGUAAGCUAUCACUGAAGGAGGGGAUUGCGUCUGAUUAGCUAGUUGGAGGGGUAACGGCCCACCAAGGCGAUGAUCAGUAGCCGGUCUGAGAGGAUGAACGGCCACAUUGGGACUGAGACACGGCCCAGACUCCUACGGGAGGCAGCAGUGGGGAAUCUUCCGCAAUGGACGAAAGUCUGACGGAGCAACGCCGCGUGAGUGAUGACGGCCUUCGGGUUGUAAAGCUCUGUUAAUCGGGACGAAAGACCUUCUUGCGAAUAGUGAGAAGGAUUGACGGUACCGGAAUAGAAAGCCACGGCUAACUACGUG
This 510-nucleotide ribosomal RNA is filed under the name uncultured bacterium. RNAcentral's name for it is "partial 16S ribosomal RNA". It matches the Rfam family "Bacterial small subunit ribosomal RNA", at positions 28 to 507 of the family's 1533-position model. The record is from RNAcentral.